RNAcentral lists this unclassified non-coding RNA (371 nucleotides) under uncultured bacterium. Its description in RNAcentral is "contains 16S-23S intergenic spacer region". The record is from RNAcentral.
UCCGGUUUCACACCGGCAGUCCCACUAGAGUGCCCGGCCGAACCGCUGGCAACUAGGAGCAGGGGUUGCGCUCGUUGCGGGACUUAACCCAACAUCUCACGACACGAGCUGACGACAACCAUGCACCACCUGUACACCGCCCUUGCGGACCCCGUAUCUCUACGAGUUUUCGGUGUAUGUCAAGCCUUGGUAAGGUUCUUCGCGUUGCAUCGAAUUAAACCACACGCUCCGCUGCUUGUGCGGGCCCCCGUCAAUUCCUUUGAGUUUCAACCUUGCGGUCGUACUUCCCAGGUGGGAUACUUAAUGCUUUCGCUCAGACACACACUGUGUAUCGCGUAUGUCGAGUAUCCAUCGUUUAGGGCGUGGACUAC